GUGAACGCUGGCGGUAGGCCUAACCCAUGCAAGUCGCACGGCAGCACAGUAAGAGCUUGCUCUUACGGGUGGCGAGUGGCGGACGGGCGAGGAAUACAUCGGAAUCUACUUUUUCGUGGGGGAUAACGUAGGGAAACUUACGCUAAUACCGCAUACGACCUACGGGUGAAAGCAGGGGAUCUUCGGACCUUGCGCGAUUGAAUGAGCCGAUGUCGGAUUAGCUAGUUGGCGGGGUAAAGGCCCACCAAGGCGACGAUCCGUAGCUGGUCUGAGAGGAUGAUCAGCCACACUGGAACUGAGACACGGUCCAGACUCCUACGGGAGGCAGCAGUGGGGAAUAUUGGACAAUGGGCGCAAGCCUGAUCCAGCCAUACCGCGUGGGUGAAGAAGGCCUUCGGGUUGUAAAGCCCUUUUGUUGGGAAAGAAAAGCAGCAGGUUAAUACCCCGCUGUUCUGACGGUACCCAAAGAAUAAGCACCGGCUAACUUCGUG
Molecule: ribosomal RNA, 491 nt
Filed under: uncultured bacterium
Lineage: Bacteria
Description: partial 16S ribosomal RNA
Rfam family: Bacterial small subunit ribosomal RNA
Source: RNAcentral